Molecule: ribosomal RNA, 464 nt
Filed under: uncultured bacterium
Lineage: Bacteria
Description: partial 16S ribosomal RNA
Rfam family: Bacterial small subunit ribosomal RNA
Source: RNAcentral
GACGAACGCUGGCGGCGUGCUUAACACAUGCAAGUCGAACGGAAAGGCCCUGCUUGCAGGGUACUCGAGUGGCGAACGGGUGAGUAACACGUGGGUGAUCUGCCCUGCACUUCGGGAUAAGCUUGGGAAACUGGGUCUAAUACCGGAUAGGAGCCAUCUUUAGUGUGGUGGUUGGAAAGUUUUUUCGGUGUAGGAUGAGCUCGCGGCCUAUCAGCUUGUUGGUGGGGUAAUGGCCUACCAAGGCGGCGACGGGUAGCCGGCCUGAGAGGGUGUACGGCCACAUUGGGACUGAGAUACGGCCCAGACUCCUACGGGAGGCAGCAGUGGGGAUUUUUCCACAAUGGGCGAAAGCCGGAUGCAGCGACGCCGCUUGGGGGAUGAAGGCCUUCGGUUUGUAAACUCUUUCGCUAGGGACGAAGCUUUUUGUGACGGUACCUAGAUAAGAAGCACCGGCUAACUACGUG